RNAcentral lists this ribosomal RNA (457 nucleotides) under uncultured bacterium. RNAcentral's name for it is "bacterial SSU rRNA". It matches the Rfam family "Bacterial small subunit ribosomal RNA", at positions 340 to 786 of the family's 1533-position model. The record is from RNAcentral.
UACGGAAGGCAGCAGUGGGGAAUAUUGCACAAUGGGCGCAAGCCUGAUGCAGCCAUGCCGCGUGUAUGAAGAAGGCCUUCGGGUUGUAAAGUACUUUCAGUCGUGAGGAAGGUGUUAAGGUUAAUAACCUUAGCAAUUGACGUUAGCGACAGAAGAAGCACCGGCUAACUCCGUGCCAGCAGCCGCGGUAAUACGGAGGGUGCGAGCGUUAAUCAGAAUUACUGGGCGUAAAGGGCACGCAGGCGGUUAAUUAAGUUGGAUGUGAAAUCCCCGGGCUUAACCUGGGAAUGGCAUUCAAGACUGGUUAGCUAGAGUCUUGUAGAGGGGGUUAGAAUUCCAUGUGUAGCGGUGAAAUGCGUAGAGAUGUGGAGGAAUACCGGUGGCGAAGGCGGCCCCUGGGACAAAGACUGACGCUCAUGUGCGAAAGCGUGGGGAGCAAACGAGGGAUUAGGAUACC